Molecule: long non-coding RNA, 186 nt
Organism: Mauremys reevesii (Reeves's turtle)
Lineage: Eukaryota; Metazoa; Chordata; Testudines; Geoemydidae
Exons: 3
Source: RefSeq, a predicted model, not a curated record
GAAUGCUGACGCAAGGGGGUAUUACAGGUGACAUCCUGAAAGUACAGAGAAAAACAGAUUGGCUUUUGCGCUGAUUGUUUGAAGCCUGAACUGCUCCUAGUCUUUUUCUGUAUAAGUCUGUGAAAAGUCAUUUGGAGCUGUACAACUAUGCUAUUGCUAAGGAACUUUUAUUUUCAUCUGAGAGUA